AGAGUUUGAUCCUGGCUCAGAAUGAACGUUGGCGGCGUGGAUUAGGCAUGCAAGUCGAACGCCGCCCAAGGCGGAUCAGUGGCGCAAGGGUGAGUAAGGCGACGGCAACCAACCCCAUGGUUGGGCAUAGCCGCGGGAAACUGCGGGUAAUUCCCAGCGAUGUUCGCUUGGGGCAUCCCAAGCGAACCAAAGCUCUGGCGCCGUGGGACGGGCCGUCGUGGUAUUAGGUUGUUGGCGGGGUAAUGGCCCACCAAGCCUCUGAUGCCUACCGGGCGUGCGAGCGUGGCCCGGCACACUGGGACUGAGACACUGCCCAGACUCCUACGGGAGGCUGCAGUCGAGAAUCUUCGGCAAUGGGCGCAAGCCUGACCGAGCGACGCCGCGUGGAGGAUGAAGGCCUUCGGGUUGUAAACUCCUGUCGAGGGGGAGGAAGGCGCAAGCUUGACCGAUCCCUGGAGGAAGCACGGGCUAAGUUCGUGCCAGCAGCCGCGGUAAGACGAACCGUGCGAACGUUAUUCGGAAUCACUGGGCUUAAAGCGCGUGUAGGCGGAUGGGGACGUCGGUUGCUGAAAGCCCCCGGCUCAACCGGGGAACGGGCGCCGAAACGCCCCGUCUGGAGGGACGUAGGGGGACCUGGAACUUCCGGUGGAGCGGUGAAAUGCGUUGAGAUCGGAAGGAACGCCCGUGGCGAAAGCGAGGUCCUGGACGUUUACUGACGCUGAGACGCGAAAGCUAGGGGAGCGAACGGGAUUAGAUACCCCAGUAGUCC
Molecule: ribosomal RNA, 769 nt
Filed under: uncultured bacterium
Lineage: Bacteria
Description: bacterial SSU rRNA
Rfam family: Bacterial small subunit ribosomal RNA
Source: RNAcentral